AGAGUUUGAUCCUGGCUCAGGAUGAACGCUAGCGGCAGGCCUAACACAUGCAAGUCGAGGGGUAACAUGAAGUGCUUGCACUUUGAUGACGACCGGCGCACGGGUGCGCACCGCGUAUGCUACCUUUUACUGGAGAAUAGCCUUUAGAAAUGAAGAUUAAUACUUCAAUUGUACCUUUUGUAGCAUUACGAGAUGGUUAAAGACUUCGGUCGGUAAAAGAUGGCCAUGCGUCCCAUUAGUUAGUUGGCGAGGUAACGGCUCACCAAGACAGCGAUGGGUAGGGGCCCUGAGAGGGGGAUCCCCCACACUGGUACUGAGACACGGACCAGACUCCUACGGGAGGCAGCAGUGAGGAAUAUUGGACAAUGGAGGGGACUCUGAUCCAGCCAUGCCGCGUGCAGGAAGACGGCCCUAUGGGUUGUAAACUGCUUUUAUACGGGAAGAAAAACAGCUACGUGUAGUUGACUGACGGUACCGUAAGAAUAAGGACCGGCUAACUCCGUGCCAGCAGCCGCGGUAAUACGGAGGGUCCGAGCGUUAUCCGGAAUUAUUGGGUUUAAAGGGUCCGUAGGCGGGCCAUUAAGUCAGGGGUGAAAGUCUGCGGCUCAACCGUAGAAUUGCCUUUGAUACUGGUGGUCUUGAGUUAUGGUGAAGUGGCUGGAAUAUGUAGUGUAGCGGUGAAAUGCAUAGAUAUUACAUAGAACACCGAUUGCGAAGGCAGGUCACUAACCAUAUACUGACGCUGAUGGACGAAAGCGUGGGGAGCGAACAGGAUUAGAUACCCUGGUAGUCCACGCCGUAAACGAUGGAUACUAGCUGUCCGGAUCCUUGAGAUCUGGGCGGCCAAGCGAAAGUGAUAAGUAUCCCACCUGGGGACAUGUGGUUUAAUUCGAUGAUACGCGAGGAACCUUACCAGGGCUUAAAUGCAUAUUGACAGGGUCAGAGAUGACUUUUCCUUCGGGCAAUUUGCAAGGUGCUGCAUGGUUGUCGUCAGCUCGUGCCGUGAGGUGUCAGGUUAAGUCCUAUAACGAGCGCAACCCCUGCCGUUAGUUGCCAGCAAGUAAAGUUGGGGACUCUAACGGGACUGCCGGUGCAAACCGUGAGGAAGGUGGGGAUGACGUCAAAUCAUCACGGUCCUUACGUCCUGGGCUACACACGUGCUACAAUGGCCGGGACAGAGAGCAGCCACUUUGCAAGGCGGAGCGAAUCUAUAAAACCGGUCACAGUUCGGAUCGGGGUCUGCAACUCGACCCCGUGAAGCUGGAAUCGCUAGUAAUCGGAUAUCAGCCAUGAUCCGGUGAAUACGUUCCCGGGCCUUGUACACACCGCCCGUCAAGCCAUGGAAGCCGGGAGUGCCUGAAGUCCGUCACCGCAAGGAGCGGCCUAGGGCAAGAUCGGUAACUAGGGCUAAGUCGAAACAAGGUAGCC
RNAcentral lists this ribosomal RNA (1428 nucleotides) under uncultured prokaryote. Its description in RNAcentral is "partial 16S ribosomal RNA". It matches the Rfam family "Bacterial small subunit ribosomal RNA". The record is from RNAcentral.